This 577-nucleotide long non-coding RNA is filed under the name Crocodylus porosus (Australian saltwater crocodile). Its description in RNAcentral is "lncRNA (ENSCPRG00005018053.1)". The record is from RNAcentral. Lineage: Eukaryota; Metazoa; Chordata; Crocodylia; Crocodylidae.
CUGGCCGUUAGACAAUCUUUUCCUUUUAUGGCUUUGAAGGGUACAAAACCAGGUGACACACUGGGAGAGUUGAUCACUGAAAGUUUCCAAGACAUGCUGGGGAAGAUGUGCCAAUAAUCAGGAAUAUAUGAAGCUAUAAAUCUGAGGGGAAGAGACUGGAAUAUGACCAUCUGCUAAUUUUGGAAGGGAAUACAAGCUGAAAUGAGAGUCCUUUUAAGACCAAGUCUCUUCUGAUUCUGGAAAGGAUGGAGACAAACUCCAAACUCCAUUGUGAAGAAAAUAUUCUACAUUCGCCAAUGCAAUGAAUAACCCUGGUAGAAGUCAGUCAUCCUUGUUUUCAGAACACUAUCCUAGAAGGCAAUGUGAUGCUAGUGUCAGGAGAAUCCCCACUACGGCACUGGGAGUCCAGCUGUGAAGGAACAAAACAAAACAGUACAUGAAGAAUCAAGGACAAAAAUACAAAUUGCAUAGGAGCAAGAGCAGGCUGUGAUCACAAAGCAUAUACAGGAAAGAGAGGAGGCGGUAUCUCUGUCGAAGUCCAGACAUACAGAAUCGCAGAACACAAGGCUCAGCUAAG